CUCAGCUCCCAGGUGCAUGAAGCAGGGACAUCCAAGAGGAUGAUGGCAGCUCACUUCUUGCUGCAGUUCCUCCUCUUCGGGACUCUACUCGUCCCUGUGUACCUGCAGAUGGAAGGAUGUGAUUUUCUCCAGGAUGCAGUCAAGGGCAAUUUCUCAGUGACUGUGACACCUGAGGAGUAUGUGGCCAACACAACCUACCAGGUCCUGAGGGGUUUCACUUGAAGCCACUCUCACCCAAAUGUCACUGAGGGCCAGGAGGGCUACAGCCGUGUGGCACACACAGCCGUAUGCAGCUGGCUGCUGGCAGGCAGUUACAAUAAGAGAUGACGGAAACAGCACCACCAUCAGAAAUGUGACCAUGUAUUUACUUCAAGCCUUGUCCUCUGAAAAUACCACUGCAGGAGAAUGGAAUGUAGUAGAAAAACUAAACUGCAGUAAUGUUGCGACAGCAAUGCUAAAUACCACUCAGGAAGAAGCAGCAGCAAACUGGACAUCUCCAAGCAGUAACAUAUCUUCCGUGGAAAUAAGGGCAUAUAUCAUCUAUGAAAACAAUAUCACUGAGUUCAAGACGGCGAUUCUGCAGGAAGUUCCACGAACAGAUCCAACCACAGCCUCGACAACCCCUGACUCCGUCUCCGCAGUCCAGAGCAGCUGCUUCUUCAUCGCCGUCACUCAGCUGCUGAUGCUCCUCACUACAAGCAAACUGCUCUCCUAGGAGAUGGGGAGAGGAGAUGACCCAGCUGUGGUGCUCCUCUCCUCACCCACGGCACAGGUGGGAGGGCAGGCAGCUGAUCUACUCAGGAAAAUCACUCACUUCUUAUGCGUAUCAAGAUGAUAACUGCACUUCUACAUUAGAUUAUAAGGGUCUAUGGCCACAGAGCUGAUCUCCCCUUACUCCCCUCAACCAGGGCCAGCACACACAGCAAGAUUAGCAAGUCAGAGAUCACUCUGGUCAGAACAGCUGGAGAAGGUGAUUUAGGAGCAGACCCCUUCUAACCAGGGGCACCGGAUGGGUUAAUCCUUUCCUCAACACCUGGGGUCCUGUGAAGCACAAAAAGAAAAGCAUGAAAAUGUUCAAGAGAGGGGAAAGGCCCCUCCCCAUCCCAGUACUGGUGUGUGCUGAGGAGCUGAAGGAGAGGUCUGUGAGCCACAGCCAGGGCAGAGCUAUACUGUGUCCUGCAAAGCUCCCUUGGUUUGGUUCUGGCUCUCUGGAAUGGUGGAGUGGGUGGGUUUUUUUCCUCCUUUUUUUGUUUGUUUGGGUUUUUUUUUGUUUUUAAUCAGCAGCAGUUCCUGCUGUGGGAUGAGAUUGGAUGGGCCCCUGAAUGUCUUGAUUUUAUUAUUAUUGUUUGUAUUUUUAUACGGAUGGAGUUUAUGAAGGAAAUUUCAAACUUCUGGAAAGUAAUUACUAUUAUUAUUAUUUUUUUUUUCUGAAGCGAAUCUAAAUAAACC
This 1449-nucleotide long non-coding RNA is filed under the name Gallus gallus (chicken). Its description in RNAcentral is "lncRNA (ENSGALG00010026151.1)". Lineage: Eukaryota; Metazoa; Chordata; Aves; Galliformes; Phasianidae. The record is from RNAcentral.